UGGGGAAUAUUGGACAAUGGGGGAAACCCUGAUCCAGCCAUGCCGCGUGUGUGAAGUAGGCCUUUUGGUUGUAAAGCACUUUAAGCAGUGAAGAAGACUCUUCGGUUAAUACUCGGAGACGAUGACAUUAGCUGCAGAAUAAGGACCGGCUAACUCUGUGCCAGCAGCCGCGGUAAUACAGAGGGUGCAAGCGUUAAUCGGAAUUACUGGGCGUAAAGCGAGCGUAGGUGGCUUGAUAAGUCAGAUGUGAAAUCCCCGGGCUUAACCUGGGAACUGCAUCUGAAACUGUUAGGCUAGAGUAGGUGAGAGGGAAGUAAGAUUUCAGGUGUAGCGGUGAUAUGCGUAGAGAGCUGCAGGAAUACCGAUGGCGAAGGGAGCUUCCUGGCAUCAUACUGAAACUGAGGCUCGAAAGCGUGGGUAGCAAACAGG
Molecule: ribosomal RNA, 429 nt
Filed under: Actinomycetes bacterium
Lineage: Bacteria; Bacillati; Actinomycetota; Actinomycetes
Description: Actinobacteria bacterium partial 16S ribosomal RNA
Rfam family: Bacterial small subunit ribosomal RNA
Source: RNAcentral